Molecule: RNA transcript, 4983 nt
Organism: Portunus trituberculatus (swimming crab)
Lineage: Eukaryota; Metazoa; Arthropoda; Malacostraca; Decapoda; Portunidae
Exons: 16
Source: RefSeq, a predicted model, not a curated record
UGUAAACAUUGGCGGGGGCGGGUCUGGGUGGGGCCUAAUCACUCUCCACUCUGGCCCUCACCUCUACUUCACUCCUUUGCUUUGCCCAUAGCACAGGGCGAGAUGGGGCAGGCCGCAUCACCCUGUCAUCCCUACUGUUCUACCUGCCGCCUUGCCUCCUCACCGUCACCACUCGCUAGUCGCUAUCAUGCAGUCCUGCCCUCACCACUACUACUGUUACCGCUCCGUCUCCUACCCCCAUCACCCUCACCACGGCCUCCCCUACCCUCAUCACUUCCUGUCAUCGGUGUCAUGUCUUUUCAGUGUCAAAUAAAGCCUGAUGGCAGUAAAAAGGUGCUUGAGGUAUUUCACAGAAGAAUGGAGACGAGGAAGAGAGAAGGCGUGACUUGCACAACGGAAACACAGGUUCACAAAGCAUUGAGCAUCUCAACCAUGAAGAACAAUGCAGCAAGACCUGGAAGCCCUGAGGUGGAUGAUGUACGGGAGGUGGAGGAGCCUCAGACAGCAGCCACCACUCUGCCCCCAGAAGUGGAGAUCCGCGUUCAGCUCUUUGAUGGGCAGGUCAUCCACAUAACAUCAUCACCCUUGGAGGAAGCAGGACCAGGAGGAGGAGAUGACAAGAAAACAUGUGAGAGUGAGGUGAAGCGAGACAGCAGGUCUGGUGUGCUAAAUGGAGAGGUGGUGGGGACAUUAAGUGGAGGCACAAUGACCCUCCUCACCAGUAAUGGCAAGACUUACAUUCUACCACAACAUCUGGCUGCAGCUGAAGGAGGGAGCUACUUGAUAUCAGGGGAGGUGCUUAACACAGAGGAGGUAUUGCAGGCCACUGAUGUGCUUCAUGACGAACAAAUGUUGACCAUCUCGCCACCACCACCACAGUCAGCAAUGGACUUCACCUCUGUUGCUGGUCAUCCUGAUGCCCUCGCCAUUGCUACAAGUGAGGUGUUCAGUGAAGACUAUGUGUCACUUCCUCUGCACACCCAAGGUCAUUUAACUGAACAGUCAAGAACCUUCAGAUUUAAGACAAUGGAUGUAGAGAACCCUCAGGAAGUACAUAAUAAAAUGUAUACACAGUCAAGAUCAGACUCUCAGAUGAGGAAUUUGCUGAUACCAGAUGCCAGCAUCAUCACAAUCAAUGCCUCAGAUGCUGCCAGCAGUGAUGAGUGCACAGAGAGAGACUCCAAAAGAACUGUGAGAAAGAAUAGUGACAGUGAGACAGUAACUAAGGAGAAGGGCAAUGUUGAAGCACUGCACUGUAAGCCAAAAGAGGGAAAGGAUGGCAGUGACAGGGUAAGUCAAAUACAGCUAGAUCCAUCAAAAUUAGUUGGCCUUUCAAAUAAUGCCUCCAGUAAGAAAUAUACAACAACAAGAGCUUCUGAAGAAAUGAGGACUAAGGAAGUCAGAGUGGGUGAAGCAUGUGUUGCCAAAACUACAAGUGAAGAGAGGAAUGAGAGAACACAGCCAGUCAACUCAGACUUUGUUCCAAAGAGCAGUGCUCAGACUGACGCACAGAAUUUAAGAUUACGGCGCUCUUCUCGGAUCAGAAGAGUGAAAAGGAUUACUGAUGAAGAGGAGAGUGAGCUGACUGAGGAGUCCUGCACUGGAAAGAGACGGAAGGGGGUGAAAGGAGAGGUGCCAGCAGCCCUGUGGGAGUGUGGCAGUUGUGAUGCAAUGUUCAGGACAAAAGUUGGUCGGAAUCGCCAUAUGAAGGAGGGCCAUGCCUUCACUUGCUAUGUAUGUGGCUGGGAGGGUCACAGCAAGACCAAGUAUGAGAUCCACAUCUCCACUGUCCACUGUAACCAGCAGGCUCGCUGCCUCGCCUGCAGGAAAGAUUUUCCCGGCUAUGAGGCAUACAAGCAGCACAUGAAGGAGAUGCAUUCCACCAGUAUUGUGACCUCUACCUCCACAUCCACCAGUAGCUCUGUUGUUACCAACUCCACCACCACCACCACUACCACCACCACUACUGCUGCUGCAACCACUACCGCCACUUCCUCUGCUGCUGUCGCCAUCAAGACAGAGGUGGAGUCAGAUGCUCGGCUGGAGGAACAAAUAAAGAAGGAAGACCAAAGUGAUGUUGUCAUGGAAGAAAAACAUGAUCCUGGCAGUUCAGACUUCAAGGAGAUGAAUUCGUGCAGUGAUCAGAGCUGUCCAUACUGCAGCAAGACCUUUACUCGCCGUAGUCGCCUGCGCAGGCACCUCAACUACCACCUGGGCAACAGAACCUUCAUGUGUAAGAUAUGCACCAAAUGUUUUGUGGAGAAGAGCGGCCUUGAUGCACACCUGCUUACUCACUGCCCCGUCAACAAGGAGUGCUCUCAGUGUGGCAAGGUGUUCAAGACAGAGCGCACCAUGACCCGUCACCUCAGGACUCACCUCAACAUGACCUACACCUGCAAUAUCUGCAACAAACAGUUUCGUCACGAGGAGUCACUGCGGGUGCACAAGUCGGUCCACAAGGAAGGGGGGAGUGGAAAUGUGUGCAAUGUGUGUGAGAAGGACUGCAAGACACCACAUUACCUGCAGCUGCACAUGAGCACCAAACAUGAGGUUGCCAAGUUCAUGUGUGAGCAGUGCAAUCGCUCCUUCAAGUGGAAGCAGAGUUAUCGGAAGCACAUGGCCAUCCACCAUGGUGAUGGUUAUCUAAAGUUCAAGUGCAACUUUUGUCCAAGGUACUUCAUGACCACGUCUGAACUGCGGCUCCACCAGGUUGUUCACAGCACUGAGAAAAAGCACCUGUGUGACAUCUGUGGAAAGGCUUUCAAACACGAGUAUACCCGGGACAAGCACACCAAGACUGUUCACCGGGAAGACCGAGAGCACAUGUGUCCUCAGUGCGGGACUCUCUUCAAGGCCAAGGCAUACCUGGACCAGCACCUAGCACAUGUACACACUACCAAGGAGAGGGUGGUGUGCAAGUAUUGUGGUAAUGACUUCAAGACAGAUGCCAACUUAAGAAGUCACAUCAAGGUGGUGCAUAAGCAACGGAGCCCAAAGUACAGCUGUAAGACCUGCCACAAAAUGUUCCUGGCACCCAAGGACCUGCUCAGGCACUCCAAGGUUCACACUGGAGUGAAGGAUUAUGUGUGCCCAAGAUGUCACCGAUGCUUCUCACGCAAGGACAACAUGAUAGCUCACCUGCGCACCCACACCGUGCCACACCAGGCUCCCAAUCCUGUGUUGGAGUCUGAGGUGGUUGUCAUGGAUGCUGUCAUGCCACAGGCUGACCACCAAGCUCCACCACCUCAGGAAGUGCCUCAUAUUCUAGGUCUUCCGUCCUCAAUUGCUCCAGAAAUUCCCCCAGUUUCUUCCAGCAACAUCAUUCUCUCCAGUGUCCCUACCACAUCUGGGAACAUUGCCCUCUCAGAGUUCAGUCCAGCAAAUAACAUUGUGCUGUCUGGAGAGUCUUCAUCUCAGACCACAGCACUGGCAUCCUCUCCAGCAUCAUCGUGUGUCACCACUAUAACAGAUACUCCUGUCACACCUCAUAGAAUCUCCAUCUCUGGCUUACCUGUGCCUUCCAUGGCAGACAUCACCAGUAUGCCACCAUCAUCCACAGGCAGCAUUAUCUUUUCCACUGUCCCUGUUUCCUCAUUCAAUGUGAGCAGUGUCUCCUCUUCAUCCAGUUCUACAGUUGUGUCUCGUGGAAGUCUGUCAGGCACCUUGGCAUGCUCCACCUCAAACAGUAUGUCAGGCAGCAGUAUAUCCUCCUCAUCCAGCAAUUCAAGUGUUACCAAUCCUUUAGCCUCUUCCUCCAUCUUAAACCUGAGCCCCAGCAACUCACUAGGUGCCUGCACAACUCACCCAAAUCAUCAAACAUACAGCUUUCAUCCUCAGUUAGUUGUUUCCUCACCUAACCAAGUUUCUAAUAUAUCUUCUCUCAUCACUGCAUCCCCUGUUCCAUCAAAUGUCAUCUCUUUGCCAAAGUCUCACUCCACUUCAGGACCAGUCUUUGUGUCCCAGAGCAGCCACACCCAAGUCAUGUGCUCCACACUGCAAGGGGAGCAGGUGGUACUCACUGCUGGCUCACUCGCACCCAUCUCAAAGGUGUCCAUACAGGAUGGCAAUUCUCCGCAGUACAUGCGGCUUGAUCCACUCAGUGCCUCAGUAUGUCCCACUCCAUCAAGCAUUAAUCCUCUCAGCCCAUCUGUAUCAAGCAGUGAAAGAAACCCAGGGGGCACUCUGGCAGAGGACAUGCCACUCUCUACUGACUCCACUCCUCAUGCUUCAUCUGUUGACGUUCCAGACUCUGUGGAGUCAAACAUCAUUCUUCCUACUUCCUCCAUUCUUCAAGAAGCUGCCCUCAUACUUCCAGAAAAGUCAGGCCUAUACACUAUCAUGGGCGGAGGAGGAAAAAUCACCCCCUUGGAGACCCUCACCCUGCAUUCUGUUCCUCCUCCAUCAAGUCACUCAGACUAACUCCACUGGUGAUCAGGACCUGUUGUUAUAUGUCUCAGCAAGUGAGCCAAAGUCCUCACCUGUGGGUAGGAGAGUGGCCGCAGCCUGUCAUAGUCCUCUUGGCCGGCAGUGUCCCACAAGCCUAAACUGACUGGGAUGCUGUCCACUACCAUUGGUGCAGAAUAAUUAUCAAACCUGAAACAAACAAAUGGGCAACUGACUUGCAGGAAUAGAUGGAUAUGAAACCAAAGGGAAACACUCACACUGUGGGCACGUAUUCCUUGGGGAAGGAGUCGGUAGUGUAGGAGAUGAGCAUGCAUGUCUUGCCCACUGUUCCGUCUCCUACCACCACACACUUGAUGGGACGGCCAGAAGACAUCUUCCCUACAUUGGACUGCAGGAGCUGGGGGUCAGUCAACAUGGCAUGGUAAAAUAGUUAUCAGGAAAGGCGUCAGUGCACACUGCAAAGUUAGCAGCACAUCAAACAGCCUAUUCAAGAUGGGACACUGGAGGGAGUCAAGAAGUGUAGUGACAGUCUCAAAAGAGAUGUCAAAAUCAUAAAAAAUUAAUAAAUGCCUUGAAACC